AUUGAACGCUGGCGGCAGGCCUAACACAUGCAAGUCGAGCGGAUGAAGGGAGCUUGCUCCUGGAUUCAGCGGCGGACGGGUGAGUAAUGCCUAGGAAUCUGCCUGGGAGUGGGGGAUAACGUCCGGAAACGGGCGCUCAUACCGCAUACGUCCUGAGGGAGAAAGUAGGGGAUCUUCGGACCUCCCGCUAUCAGAUGAGCCUAGGUCGGAUUAGCUAGUUGGUGGGGUAAAGGCCUACCAAGGCGACGAUCCGUAACUGGUCUGAGAGGAUGAUCAGUCACACGGGAAGUGAGAAAGGGUCCAGAGUCCUGAGGGGGGCCGCAGUCGGGAAUAUUGCACGAUGGGGGAGUGCCUGAUCCAGCCAAGCGGGGGGUGGGAAGAAGGUCUUCGGAUUGGAAAACACUGUAGGUUGGGGGGAAGGGCAGUGAGUUUAUACGUUGCUGUUUUGACGGUACCAACAGAAUAAGCAACGGCUAACUACGUG
Molecule: ribosomal RNA, 484 nt
Filed under: uncultured bacterium
Lineage: Bacteria
Description: partial 16S ribosomal RNA
Rfam family: Bacterial small subunit ribosomal RNA
Source: RNAcentral